Molecule: ribosomal RNA, 433 nt
Filed under: uncultured bacterium
Lineage: Bacteria
Description: partial 16S ribosomal RNA
Rfam family: Bacterial small subunit ribosomal RNA
Source: RNAcentral
AACGAACGCUGGCGGCAUGCCUAACACAUGCCAGUCGAACGAAGGCUUCGGCCUUAGUGGCGCACGGGUGCGUAACGCGUGGGAAGCUGCCCUUGGGUUCGGAAUAACAGCUGGAAACGGCUGCUAAUACCGGUGGAUGACGAAAGUCCAAAGAUUUAUGGCCAUAGGAUGAGCCCGCGUUGGAUUAGGUAGUUGGUGGGGUAAAGGCCUACCAAGCCGAGGAUCCUUAGCUGGUCUGAGAGGAUGACCAGCCACACUGGGGCUGCGACACAGCCCAGACCCCUACGCGAGGGUGGAGUAGGUAAUAUUGGGCGAGGGGCGCAAGCCUGAUACAGCAGUGCCGCGUGAGUGAUGAAGGCCGUAGGGUUGUAAAGCUCUUUUACCCGGGAAGAUAAUGACUGUACCGGGAGAAUAAGCCCCGGCUAACUACGUG